Molecule: long non-coding RNA, 363 nt
Filed under: Capsicum annuum
Lineage: Eukaryota; Viridiplantae; Streptophyta; Magnoliopsida; Solanales; Solanaceae
Description: long non-coding RNA (CANN_LNC021183)
Source: RNAcentral
CUCCAUCCCUAAUUUCCAUGUCCCAAUAGUCAAAUCUCCUCCCCGGCCCCCCCAAACCCCAACCCACGCACCCAUCGAUCCAUCAAUGGCUAAGCGAACCCUCCCCCUUCUCAAGCACCUACUUCACUCCCCAUCCCAUGCCCAUUCCUUAACAUCAACCCGAUCCGUCACCUACAUGCCUCGACCCGGUGACGGCACUCCACGUGCCGUCACCUUAAUCCCUGGUGACGGGAUCGGACCUCUCGUCACUGGUGCAGUCGAACAAGUCAUGGAGGCGAUGCAUGCUCCUGUGUACUUCGAGCGUUACGAUGUUCAUGGCGAUAUGAAGAGUAUGCCUCCGGAGGUAAUGGAUUCGAUCCGGAA